RNAcentral lists this transfer RNA (89 nucleotides) under Streptomyces galbus. RNAcentral describes it as "tRNA-Ala". The record is from RNAcentral. Lineage: Bacteria; Bacillati; Actinomycetota; Actinomycetes; Kitasatosporales; Streptomycetaceae.
UCGGCGUCGGGGCACGCGCCGAAGUCGAUGCCGGUGGCGGCGGCGCGGGCGGCCGCGACCGCGGUGCCGUGCCGUUCGGCGAUGCCGGU